RNAcentral lists this ribosomal RNA (1223 nucleotides) under metagenome. RNAcentral's name for it is "SSU rRNA". It matches the Rfam family "Eukaryotic small subunit ribosomal RNA", at positions 588 to 1823 of the family's 1831-position model. The record is from RNAcentral.
CCUCCAUUAGUGUAUACUAAAGUUGCUGCAGUUAAAAAGCUCGUAGUUGGAUUUCGGUUAAUGAAAAGUUAGUCCACUUAAUUAUAAGUGCGUACUGACGUUUUAUUUCCUUCUUUUCAGAUAUACAACUUGUUGUGUUCUGAAUCUUUUACUUUGAGAAAAUUAGAGUGUUCAAAGCAGGCGUAACCAAGCCUUUGAAUAUAUUAGCAUGGGAUAAUGGAAUAAGACUUUUUGCCUUAUUUUCGUUGGUUCUUGAGGCUAAAGUAAUGAUUAAUAGGGAUAGUUGGGGUCAUUAGUAUUUAAUUGUCAGAGGUGAAAUUCUAAGAUUUAUUAAAGACUAACUACUGCGAAAGCAUUUGACAAGGAUGUUUUUCAUUAAUCAAGAACGAAAGUUGGGGGAUCGAAGAUGAUCAAUACCGUCGUAGUCUCAACCAUAAACUAUGCCGACCAAGGAUUCGGGGGUGUUAUAUGAAUGACCCUCCGGGCACUUAUAGAGAAAUCAUAAGUAUUUGGGUUCCGGGGGGAGUAUGGUCGCAAGGCUGAAACUUAAAGGAAUUGACGGAAGGGCACCACCAGGAGUGGAAUAUGCGGUUUAAUUUGACCCAACACGGGAAAACUUACCAGGUCCAGACACAGUGAGGAUUGACAGAUUGAGAGCUCUUUCUUGAUUUUGUGGGUGGUGGUGCAUGGCCGUUUCUAGUUGGUGGAGUGAUUUGUCUGGUUAAUUCCGUUAACGAACGAGACCUUAACCUAUUAAAUAGUUACACAUACUUGGGAUUCGUCCUAAUAGUAUGUGGUUAACUUCUUAGAGGGACUCUUCACGUAAAGAGUGAAUGGAAGUUUGAGGCAAAAACAGGUCUGUGAUGCCCUUAGAUGUUCUGGGCUACACGCGUGUUACACUGAUAUAUUCAACAAGCAUUAUAAUUCCUUACCCGAUGGGGUUGGGUAAUCUUUUAAAUGUAUAUCGUGAUGGGGAUAGACCAUUGUAAUUAUUGGUCUUGAACGAGGAAUUCCUAGUAAGUGCAAGUCAUUAGCUUGCGCUGAUUACGUCCCUGCCCUUUGUACACACCGCCCGUCGCUCCUACCGAUGAAUGGUCCGGUGAGGACUCAGGAUGACCGUGGAUUUUGGUUAUACCAUGCCAUUGUUUGUCAGAAUCUGUUCAAACCUUAUCAUUUAAAGGAAGGAGAAGUCGUAACAAGGUUUCCGUAGGUACCUGCGGAAG